This 253-nucleotide ribosomal RNA is filed under the name uncultured bacterium. RNAcentral's name for it is "partial 16S ribosomal RNA". It matches the Rfam family "Bacterial small subunit ribosomal RNA", at positions 524 to 776 of the family's 1533-position model. The record is from RNAcentral.
UACGUAGGGUGCAAGCGUUGUCCGGAAUUAUUGGGCGUAAAGGGCUCGUAGGCGGUCCGUCACGUCGGGAGUGAAAACUUGGGGCUUAACCCCAAGCCUGCUUCCGAUACGGGCGGACUAGAGGUAGGCAGGGGAGAACGGAAUUCCUGGUGUAGCGGUGAAAUGCGCAGAUAUCAGGAGGAACACCGGUGGCGAAGGCGGUUCUCUGGACAGUGACUGACGCUGAGACGCGAAAGCGUGGGGAGCAAACAGG